AAGCGGGGGCAACCCUGUGAGUAAAGUGGCGUACGGGUGAGUAACACGUGACUAACCUGCCCUUGAGUGGGGAAUAACCUCGGGAAACCGGGGCUAAUACCGCAUAAUACCUACGGGUGCAAACCUGAUGGUCAAACCGGCAACGGGCUUAAGGAGGGGGUCGCGGCUGAUUAGCUAGUUGGCAGGGUAAUGGCCUACCAAGGCGACGAUCAGUAGCUGUCCUGAGAGGGAGCACAGCCACACUGGAACUGAGAACACGGUCCAGACUCCUACGGGAGGCAGCAGUGGGGAAUUUUGCGCAAUGGGGGAAACCCUGACGCAGCAACGCCGCGUGGAGGAUGAAGUCCCUUGGG
This 353-nucleotide ribosomal RNA is filed under the name uncultured bacterium. RNAcentral's name for it is "bacterial SSU rRNA". It matches the Rfam family "Bacterial small subunit ribosomal RNA", at positions 71 to 422 of the family's 1533-position model. The record is from RNAcentral.